AUUAUUGUGCAUGUGGCCCCAGUUUGGAACGCAAUGUUGGCCCCGAUUUGUCAUCCAAUAUAGGGCCGAAAGAAAAAAUCUCUAUUGCCCCAAUACUGGUGACCACAUUUGGGCCUACAUAUUGUUGCGGAAAAUUAACUUGACCCCGAUUGUCGCCCAAAAAACUUUCUACACGAGACGUUGGAGCGAGGCAAGGGAGUACACUCGCAAUCGUUUGGAAUAAAAAACGCAUGUACUUCCGAGUCGGACAUGCGCCGAAUGAUACAAAAUUUGUACCGAAUUCAAUACGGUGAAUGAAAAACACUGUAAAGUUUAAUUAAUAUACAUAUAAUAUUUUUGACCGAUCAAAAUAACUACGUUUUCUACGCAGCACAUAUUUCUGUGGUAUUCAGCCGAUAUCAUUCGACCUUUGAUCCGAAGAUUGGAUUACGACUAGUCGUAGUGCCAUCGCAGCUCCGGCCACACGAAAUAUCAACCCUUGCACUCGAGGCCUUUUUCGUUUGCGUGAACAGCAACUCGAGUCGAUUUCGGCCAAAUUAGGUAAACGUUUUACCGGUACUUUAAAAACAUUUAUAAACAAACAAGCGUAUACAAAUAAUGAAAUUUCACCCGUUUAUUCAUCCAUAUGUCGAAAACAACAAACUUUGAUAAGUGCCGCAUCGGCACCGCUCGAGUGGAACGGGUUAAUCCCGCGCAGCAGUAUUACAACGAUAUCAUUCCGACCUUUGAUCCACAGAUUGGAUUACUUAUAUGACGCGAGUAAAAACUGACCUUCGAUCUAUUGUUCCUAUUUGUAGCAGGUCGUAUGUAAUACACAGCAUUACUUCUUCUUAUCAAACCCGACAUGUACCAACUUUUUAUCUCUGCACGGAAUUUCCGAGAAACGGGCGGCGUUAAAAACAAUGCUCGAGUUCAGAGAAGUGUUCGGAUAAAAGGGGUUAUCUUCUAUCUGUAAUUUCUUUCUGCUCCUUCGGGUCACACAUGGAAAGCUUUAAAUACCGCGCAUAUCGACGCCUAUCCAUAGUCGAUCACCGUUCAGUAAGUCGAGUACACACUUUGCGAAUUACAAGAUGAAGUUGGCGUUUCUGUUUGUACUUUUAUUGAGCGUGCUUCAAUACGCUCAUGCAGCAAUUUGUGCAAAAGAUUUGAGAAGCGGUGGCCCUCAAAACUUUAAUAGUGUUGCUCAAAUGAAUGCGGAAAACAGAAAAGGCGGACGAUACCAAUUCCAACACAAUGGGUAUUGUUAAGUAACAAGCGCCUCAAGAGAAUUUUGUCCGCAAGGUCAAAACGAUACCAAAAGUUUAUCGAUGUAACUGCAUAUUUGUAUCAAUAAACGGUAGUAAAAAUUGA
Neodiprion fabricii is the source of this 1350-nucleotide long non-coding RNA. RefSeq lists it as uncharacterized. The record is from RefSeq and is a predicted model, not a curated record. The transcript has 3 exons. NCBI's taxonomy places the organism in Eukaryota, Metazoa, Arthropoda, Insecta, Hymenoptera, Diprionidae.